UUCUGUGUGAAAUUCGGCCUGCAGUUAGCACGCACUGACCUGUAUAUCUGUAGUUGCACUGGUGCGCAGUGGCAAAGUAGUUUCCCAGAAAAGCAGACGACCGGUUGUAAGGGUUGUGUUGAUGACUUACUCGACAUUAAUGAUCGUGGAAUAUCAAAAUUUGUGGCCUUGAAUUAGUCGGAUAUUUCACAUAGGAUGUGGAAGGGAAAGAGCACUCAUCUCAUGUGGGGCGACCUAUUUUCAACCAGUGGAAAUGAGAGAAAAAGUGGGCAUGCCUACCUCAGGUGAUCGCUGACUUCUCAUGGAAACAUUAUUUCUCAGAAAUGAGGUCAACGGAAAGCGAUCCCCGCCACGUUUUGAUCAUGGAACCUCGACGUCUGUAGUUUGUGAAUAGUAAAAUAUGUGAUAAAGGUUCUUAACCAAGACGACAUGACAGGAAGCUUCUAGGCAACAACUGAAACAACAUUAGAAAAUAUAUUCUGUGAGCAAGCGUGCAAACGAAGAUUUUUUCGUCAAAACUAAUAAAAGCCUAUCACGAGAAAAAGCUGAGGAAGACUUCUCCGACCAACAAGGGCAGACUUCAGUGACCUACGAUCUUCGAAAAUCAGUCCAGAGCUUACAUCUGUUGAUGAGAAGUAUCAUCAGCUAAAAAAAAAAUGGACAUGGUGGAUGUUCCUCUUUCAGAGACAGGUGGAAUUAGGUGCAGGAAAGAGUAGCAAAGAAAAAGAACUCGGAAAACUUGUUUGUAAUCUUUGUUUUCCAUGAGCAUGUUUUGCUUUCUUGCCAGCAGAAAGUUUGAAAGUCAUUCAUGUGUGUCCGUGCUUAUUGUGGGAGUUCCCUCUAAAUAUACUGUUUAAAAGUCGAUUUCCAACGAUAAGUUUCAAACCACGAUCCGAGGCUAAGACUGAUGUUAGAUUCUCAGAUUUAUUUAUUACAUUUUGUGUCAUUACAUUUAAAUAUUUACAUUUAAAUAUGGCUUCAUAUGCUUGUCUCUUAUCAUAAUAUGUAUAUAAAGAGAGAUCUGAAAUAUUUUUGAUGAUAUACAAUCUGUUAAGAGUAUUGACUUUGUGCAUAAAGUAGAUGUGUCUACUAAAUAAAUAGUGGUUU
This is a long non-coding RNA of Pomacea canaliculata, 1107 nucleotides long. RefSeq lists it as uncharacterized. The transcript is spliced from 4 exons. The record is from RefSeq and is a predicted model, not a curated record. Lineage: Eukaryota; Metazoa; Mollusca; Gastropoda; Architaenioglossa; Ampullariidae.